RNAcentral lists this transfer RNA (77 nucleotides) under Methylobacterium sp. Leaf99. RNAcentral describes it as "tRNA-Met". It matches the Rfam family "tRNA". From Rfam's summary of the family: Transfer RNA (tRNA) molecules are approximately 80 nucleotides in length. Their secondary structure includes four short double-helical elements and three loops (D, anti-codon, and T loops). Lineage: Bacteria; Pseudomonadati; Pseudomonadota; Alphaproteobacteria; Hyphomicrobiales; Methylobacteriaceae. RNAcentral also lists the same sequence under 1 other name. The record is from RNAcentral.
GGCGGGGUAGCUCAGUUGGUUAGAGCAGAGGAAUCAUAAUCCUCGUGUCGGGGGUUCGAGUCCCUCUCCCGCUACCA